RNAcentral lists this ribosomal RNA (301 nucleotides) under uncultured bacterium. RNAcentral describes it as "partial 16S ribosomal RNA". It matches the Rfam family "Bacterial small subunit ribosomal RNA", at positions 509 to 807 of the family's 1533-position model. The record is from RNAcentral.
CAGUAGCCACGGUAACACGAGGGGGGCUAGCGUUGUUCGGAAUUACUGGGCGUAAAGCGCACGUAGGCGGAUAUUUAAGUCAGGGGUGAAAUCCCGCAGCUCAACUGCGGAACUGCCUUUGAUACUGGGUAUCUUGAGUAUGGAAGAGGUUAGUGGAAUUGCGAGUGUAGAGGUGAAAUUCGUAGAUAUUCGCAGGAACACCAGUGGCGAAGGCGGCUAACUGGUCCAUAACUGACGCUGGGGUGCGAAAGCGUGGGGAGCAAACAGGAUUAGAUACCCGGGUAGUCCCUGUCUCUUAUAC